GUAAGUUUCCUGAGGCCUCCCCAGUCCUGCAGAACUGCUUUGAAGAAGACCACUGCGUCGGUAUUUGUGAAAUGUUUUGAGCCUCUGGAUUUAAAUAAGAUGGAAAACCAAAGCUCAGGGAGUUUUACAUGGGCAGGCAGCUGGUGAGGGCUGAGACUGGAGCCAGGCCAGUGGUCUUCAAAGGCUUUAGUCAAACUUUUUGACAGAUAUAAGAAAACCGAACUAAGGAAAAUACUUUCCUGGGAUCAUCCCUAUAUGAAGUGGCAGACCUGGAAUUGCUCCCUGUUUCAAAACAUGUAAGCUCCUCAAGAACAGGAACUUUUGUCUGUUUGUUCAUUGUUGUAUCUCCAAUCCUUAGAACUAUGCCUGGCUCAAAGUAGGUGCUCAAUAAAAUAUCUGCUGAAUGAACAAAUGCAAUCUAAUCACCAAACUUACUCUGAACGCUCACCAAGUGUGAGGCACUGCUCUUAUGAGAAAAGUAAUGUAAGAGACAUUCUAGUUUGUUUGACUAAACCUCACUCACCACAGAAUACUCACAAAGGGCUGUCCAGAAACAGAAAUGUGAUAAAAGCCUGCAUCCCGAACUUGGUGCCAAAUUUGUACUUUUAGACUUGAGAGGGUAUGGAGCUUCCUAUUCCCUGCCUGUUCCUCUCCUUCAGUCCUCCCUCCAUGGAAAUAAUCAGCCACCACAGCCCAGGAAGAAAGGGAAGCAGUCCCAUACCCCAGGAGCAGGCUGGCCUGCGAUAUCACAUCAGACUCCUGGGAUUCCAGAGAGAAAGGAGUCCCUGAGGCCCUGCAAGUCCACCUACGGGGGCUGUAGAGCUGGAGACCUG
Molecule: long non-coding RNA, 833 nt
Filed under: Homo sapiens (human)
Lineage: Eukaryota; Metazoa; Chordata; Mammalia; Primates; Hominidae
Description: HSALNT0327324
Source: RNAcentral